Long non-coding RNA from Sinocyclocheilus grahami, 459 nucleotides. RefSeq lists it as uncharacterized. The record is from RefSeq and is a predicted model, not a curated record. The transcript is spliced from 4 exons. NCBI's taxonomy places the organism in Eukaryota, Metazoa, Chordata, Actinopteri, Cypriniformes, Cyprinidae.
UGGUGAAUUUCAGAGUGGCGUCAUAAACCCGCGCUUUGUUUGGAACGUCAGCUCGUUGGCGGGAUUUAGGCUCCGGGAAAAGACAGGCAACGAUUGUUGUGAGAUAUUUGCAAUGCAGUUUUUAGGCAGAAGAAAGAAGCUGAUCGGCAACUUUCAGAAUGAUCUGUAUGAUCAAUGUCUUCAGUUUUAUGGACAGCCUCCUCUGGAGAACAUCUCUCUCUCUGAGUUUGAAAGCUUCGCAGUGGAGAGAUUGAAAUUACUCAAGACUGUCGAAAACGUUGGGGUGAGCUGUGUGAAAAAUUCAGAACGAUACACCAAGAAAUUGGACGCUGAAAUUUCAAGUCUGAACUUCCCACACAGGGCAGAACUGGGUGACCAAAAGGUUCAGGGAGGAAUAUCUGAAUAUGAGAAACGAAGAAAAGACCACAUCUCCCAUUUUAUUCUGCGCUUGGCUUAUUG